Molecule: ribosomal RNA, 465 nt
Filed under: uncultured bacterium
Lineage: Bacteria
Description: partial 16S ribosomal RNA
Rfam family: Bacterial small subunit ribosomal RNA
Source: RNAcentral
GACGAACGCUGGCGGCGUGCUUAACACAUGCAAGUCGAACGGAAAGGCCCUGCUUGCAGGGUACUCGAGUGGCGAACGGGUGAGUAACACGUGGGUGAUCUGCCCUGCACUUCGGGAUAAGCCUGGGAAACUGGGUCUAAUACCGGAUAGGAGCCAUUUUUAGUGUGAUGGUUGGAAAGUUUUUUCGGUGUAGGAUGAGCUCGCGGCCUAUCAGCUUGUUGGUGGGGUAAUGGCCUACCAAGGCGGCGACGGGUAGCCGGCCUGAGAGGGUGGACGGCCACAUUGGGACUGAGAUACGGCCCAGACUCCUACGGGAGGCAGCAGUGGGGAAGAUUGCACAAUGGGCGCAAGCCUGAUGCAGCGACGCCGCGUGGGGGAUGACGGCCUUCGGGUUGUAAACGCCUUUCGCUAGGGACGAAGCUUUUUGUGACGGUACCUAGAUAAGAAGCACCGGCUAACUACGUG